This 581-nucleotide ribosomal RNA is filed under the name uncultured bacterium. RNAcentral's name for it is "bacterial SSU rRNA". It matches the Rfam family "Bacterial small subunit ribosomal RNA", at positions 331 to 929 of the family's 1533-position model. The record is from RNAcentral.
CCAGACUCCUACGGGAGGCAGCAGUGGGGAAUAUUGGACAAUGGACCAAGAGUCUGAUCCAGCAAUUCUGUGUGCACGAUGACGUUUUUCGGAAUGUAAAGUGCUUUCAGUUGGGAAGAAAAAAAUGACGGUACCAACAGAAGAAGUGACGGCUAAAUACGUGCCAGCAGCCGCGGUAAUACGUAUGUCACAAGCGUUAUCCGGAUUUAUUGGGCGUAAAGCGCGUCUAGGUGGUUAUAUAAGUCUGAUGUGAAAAUGCAGGGCUCAACUCUGUAUUGCGUUGGAAACUGUGUAACUAGAGUACUGGAGAGGUAAGCGGAACUACAAGUGUAGAGGUGAAAUUCGUAGAUAUUUGUAGGAAUGCCGAUGGGGAAGCCAGCUUACUGGACAGAUACUGACGCUGAAGCGCGAAAGCGUGGGUAGCAAACAGGAUUAGAUACCCUGGUAGUCCACGCCGUAAACGAUGAUUACUAGGUGUUGGGGGUCGAACCUCAGCGCCCAAGCAAACGCGAUAAGUAAUCCGCCUGGGGAGUACGUACGCAAGUAUGAAACUCAAAGGAAUUGACGGGGGCCCGCACAAG